This 235-nucleotide ribosomal RNA is filed under the name uncultured Actinomycetales bacterium. RNAcentral's name for it is "partial 16S ribosomal RNA". It matches the Rfam family "Bacterial small subunit ribosomal RNA", at positions 96 to 334 of the family's 1533-position model. Lineage: Bacteria; Bacillati; Actinomycetota; Actinomycetes; Actinomycetales. The record is from RNAcentral.
UGGCGAACGGGUGAGUAACACGUGGGUGAUCUGCCUUGCACUCUGGGAUAAGCUUGGGGAACUGGGUCUAAUACCGGAUAGGAACCGUCUUUAGUGUGGUGGUUGGAAAGUUUUUUCGGUGCAAGAUGAGCUCGCGGCCUAUCAGCUUGUUGGUGGGGUAAUGGCCUACCAAGGCGUCGACGGGUAGCCGGCCUGAGAGGGUGUACGGCCACAUUGGGACUGAGAUACGGCCCAG